CGAGUCACCCCAAAAUUAGAAAAAAAUAUAACAAGUGAAAUCUCACAGAACAUGUGGGAAUCUUUUUAGUAAUUAAACACUGUGUAGUGUACCGUACUAUGGGAGUAGUUGCUUCAGCUUUCAAUUUCUAUUAAUGCCGCUAAUCAAUUACUAUAAUUGUAUGAUUCCUUUACUUGCUAUUUACUUAUAAUUGUGUAAGGCAACACAACAAUCAAAUCAAAUGGGAUCGGAGAUCUCAUUCGCCGGAAUAUUCGUUAUUAGUGCUACCGCUGCUUGUUUUGCCGAGUUGUGUACAUUACCUUUAGACACGGCUAAAGUACGACUACAGCUGCAAAAGAGAGGAUCAGGGGAAGGUGGUGUAUCCAAGUACAGGGGAUUACUAGGUACAGUUGUUACAAUUGCUAAGGAAGAAGGUUUAUUAGCUCUUUGGAAAGGCAUUAUACCUGGCUUACAUCGCCAAUGUAUUUAUGGUGGCCUAAGGAUUGGCUUAUAUGAACCCGUCAAGGCGUUCGUUGUAGGCAGCCAUUAUGUUGGAGAUAUUUCCUUAUUCAGUAAAGUUUUUGCUGCUCUUGUUACUGGUGCAGUAGCAAUUGCUGUGGCUAAUCCCACUGAUCUUGUAAAAGUUCGACUCCAGGCUGAAGGUAAAGCUGGUACAUCUAGGCGUUAUGAUGGUGCUCUCGAUGCAUACUAUACCAUAGUGAAACAGGAAGGGCUGGCGGCUUUGUGGACAGGAAUUGUGCCAAAUAUUGCACGGAAUGCUAUUAUUAAUGCUGCUGAACUGGCCAGUUAUGAUCAUCUCAAAGAGAUAAUCGUAAAACUUCCAGGAUUUACAGAUAGUGUUUUAACUCAUCUCCUAGCUGGUUUAGGUGCUGGAUUCUUUGCAGUUUCUAUUGGUUCACCAGUUGAUGUGGUCAAAUCAAGAAUGAUGGGAGAUUCAGUAUACAAGAACACCUUUGAUUGUUUUUUCAGAACAUUGAAGUACGAGGGACCACUUGCUUUUUAUAAGGGUUUCCUCCCCAAUUUUUUUCGACUAGGAUCGUGGAAUGUUAUCAUGUUUUUGACUCUUGAGCAAUAGAAGAUCCUCUAAUUUCUAUAAGAAGUGAUUAUUGUGUUUGCAAGACGAAAGCCUCUCUUAUCAAACAAAAAAAGGAAAGCCUCUCUUCAUUUUCUAUUACAAACAAAUGAACGAGGUCAAGAGAUUCUUCGGAUGAUGAAUAAAUAUUUUUAGACCAUUGAGUGUUUGCCAGCAGAAAGUGCUUUUAGCUUGGGAUUGGAUUUGUGCUUCUGCAAUUGCUUUCUGAAGAGGAAACGGAUGUUUCUCAGAACCAGUGUGGGUGUUUCGAACCGGGAAUGCGAUUUUCUUGUCAGAUAUCACAAAAGUUACUCUGUUAUUCAUAGGGCCUGCAGGGAUACACUGGGUUGCCUUUGUUUUUUCUCCAGUUAUAAUUACGAUGCAUCUGGAUAAUUAGUAUAUAAGUGAGUAACUUUGAUAAGUACAACAGAAUACUUUAAUUGGUAAUACAUACCAAAUGUCUCUCUCAAAAAGCCAAAGAGGAAUAGAAUGAGAAAAUGUAGUCACACGAUUUGAGUCAUCUACGUAGAAAGUCAUCGAUGCAUAACUUGUAUUCUUGUUUAUUUGACUGGAAGAUCAUUCAUAUAGUUGAAGUGUAAUCGAUUUUGUUUUUGUUUUUUU
Molecule: RNA transcript, 1693 nt
Organism: Lycium ferocissimum
Lineage: Eukaryota; Viridiplantae; Streptophyta; Magnoliopsida; Solanales; Solanaceae
Gene name: mitochondrial uncoupling protein 2-like
Exons: 10
Source: RefSeq, a predicted model, not a curated record